UAGGGAAUUUUCCGCAAUGGGCGAAAGCCUGACGGAGCAACGCCGCGUGAGGGAAGAAGGUUUUCGGAUCGUAAACCUCUGUCUUUGGGGACGAUAAUGACGGUACCCAAGGAGGAAGCCACGGCUAACUACGUGCCAGCAGCCGCGGUAAUACGUAGGUGGCAAGCGUUGUCCGGAGUUACUGGGCGUAAAGGGCGUGUAGGCGGCAUUCUAAGUCAGAUGUGAAAGAUCAGGGCUUAACCCUGGAGGUGCAUUUGAGACUGGAGAGCUUGAGGACCGGAGAGGGCAGUGGAAUUCCCAGUGUAGCGGUGAAAUGCGUAGAUAUUGGGAGGAACACCAGUGGCGAAGGCGACUGCCUGGACGGCACCUGACGCUGAGGCGCGAAAGCUAGGGGAGCAAACGGGAUUAGAUACCCCGGUAGUCCUAGCCGUAAACGAUGGGUACUAGGUGUGGGAGGUAUCGACCCCUUCCGUGCCGCAGUUAACACAAUAAGUACCCCGCCUGGGGAGUACGGCCGCAAGGUUG
This 525-nucleotide ribosomal RNA is filed under the name uncultured Bacillota bacterium. RNAcentral's name for it is "bacterial SSU rRNA". It matches the Rfam family "Bacterial small subunit ribosomal RNA", at positions 355 to 896 of the family's 1533-position model. The record is from RNAcentral. Lineage: Bacteria; Bacillati; Bacillota.